Molecule: ribosomal RNA, 783 nt
Filed under: uncultured Bacillota bacterium
Lineage: Bacteria; Bacillati; Bacillota
Description: bacterial SSU rRNA
Rfam family: Bacterial small subunit ribosomal RNA
Source: RNAcentral
AGGAGAGUUUGAUCCUGGCUCAGGAUGAACGCUGGCGGCGUGCUUAACACAUGCAAGUCGAACGGAGUUUAGAUGAAACCUAGUGAUUUUAAACUUAGUGGCGGACGGGUGAGUAACGCGUGGGUAACCUGCCUUAUACCGGGGGACAACAGUUAGAAAUGACUGCUAAUACCGCAUAAGCGCACGGAGUCGCAUGACUCAGUGUGAAAAACUCCGGUGGUAUAAGAUGGACCCGCGUCUGAUUAGCCAGUUGGUGAGGUAACGGCCCACCAAAGCAACGAUCAGUAGCCGGCCUGAGAGGGUGAACGGCCACAUUGGGACUGAGACACGGCCCAAACUCCUACGGGAGGCAGCAGUGGGGAAUAUUGGACAAUGGGGGAAACCCUGAUCCAGCGACGCCGCGUGAGUGAAGAAGUAUUUCGGUAUGUAAAGCUCUAUCAGCAAGGAAGAUAAUGACGGUACUUGACUAAGAAGCCCCGGCUAACUACGUGCCAGCAGCCGCGGUAAUACGUAGGGGGCAAGCGUUAUCCGGAUUUACUGGGUGUAAAGGGAGCGUAGACGGUUUGGCAAGUCUGAUGUGAAAGCCCGGGGCUCAACCGCGGGACUGCAUUGGAAACUGUCAGACUUGAGUGCAGGAGAGGUAAGUGGAAUUCCUAGUGUAGCGGUGAAAUGCGUAGAUAUUAGGAGGAACACCGGUGGCGAAGGCGGCUUACUGGACUGUAACUGACGUUGAGGCUCGAAAGCGUGGGGAGCAAACAGGAUUAGAUACCCUGGUAGUCCCCU